This 732-nucleotide long non-coding RNA is filed under the name Pongo abelii (Sumatran orangutan). RNAcentral's name for it is "lncRNA (ENSPPYG00000039589.1)". Lineage: Eukaryota; Metazoa; Chordata; Mammalia; Primates; Hominidae. The record is from RNAcentral.
UUUUUUUUUUAUUUUUUAAUUUUUCUUCUGGUUCACAACAUUCCUUUGGAACCAAUAGGAAAUAUUGCAGUUUUAGAUGCCUAAUUUCCAACUUGAUCUUAAAUCACUUAUACAGGUCUAGCAAUUCUCAGGAUCAGAAAUGCAACCUGGGGAAAUGCUUCUCUGAUAAAAGAAAAUUGAAGAACCUUGGAGUGUCCAUGAGAAAUGAACCAUAACCAAAGACAGUUCCUUUGAGAAAAAUUUCAUUGAACAGCAACAGUAUACUUGCCACAUCUAAGGAGGGGAGGAGGGGCCCAUCUGUGCUCACCCCACUGCUUCAGGGUCCUUCUAACAAAGAGAUUGUGCUGCGGUGGCCCCAAGAACCUUCCAGCAGGCAAUGCCUGCUGCUUUGGAAGUAUUCAGAAGUUGCAAUGCUGGGAACCAAGAUGUCAGGUUAUUGAAAGGAGAGGAACUACCAGAUAGAACCUGGCUUUGUAGAGCAAAUAAAGUUCUUUGUUCAAAUGUUCGAAAUGCCAAGAACCUGGACCCUCCACUGGUAAGAACCAGACCUCAAGUCCAGAUCUUCCUUGUGGACAGGACAGAACCAAGGCCCAGCUCCCUCCUGACCCGUAGCCACAGAUGUGAUUCUGGCCGUGAAGCCCCCUUAACCCCAUGUUUUAACCACCGGAGUUAAAUGACUGCUAAGUAGGUGUGAGGCAGAAAAGGAAACAGGCUACAUGAUUAAAACACGAG